GAUACCCUAUUAUUUUAAGUGUGAAUUAUUUGUCUUUAAUUAUUAAUAGUUAAGUUCUUUAAAGUUAAAAAAUUUGGCGGUAUUUUAGUCUGUUCAGAGGAACCUGUCCNUUAAUCGAUAGUCCACGAUUAGCUUUACUUUGACUAUAAAAUUUAUAUAUCGUUGUUUACAAAAAUUUCAGGAGGAUAAUAAAUUUUUGUUAUAUUUUAUUAUAUAGUAUUUCAGAUCGAGGUGUAGUUUAUGUCUGAGAUAGGAUGGGUUACAUUANAAUUAUAUGUGG
RNAcentral lists this ribosomal RNA (280 nucleotides) under Promethis sp. GJK-2017. Its description in RNAcentral is "partial 12S ribosomal RNA". The record is from RNAcentral. Lineage: Eukaryota; Metazoa; Arthropoda; Insecta; Coleoptera; Tenebrionidae.